UGAAAUUCGAUUUGUCAAGCCCGGUGGGGCACCGCCUGUAAAGAAUUUGGUGGGUUCAGCGGCCCAAAAAGGGGUGAGAGAAGGUUGCUUUGGAACUAUUUAGGUGGGAUAAUCAAAUUAGCACGC
Non-coding RNA from Caenorhabditis elegans, 126 nucleotides. The record is from Ensembl. NCBI's taxonomy places the organism in Eukaryota, Metazoa, Nematoda, Chromadorea, Rhabditida, Rhabditidae.